RNAcentral lists this long non-coding RNA (269 nucleotides) under Lathyrus oleraceus (garden pea). RNAcentral describes it as "Pisum sativum (pea) long non-coding RNA (PSAT_LNC011570)". Lineage: Eukaryota; Viridiplantae; Streptophyta; Magnoliopsida; Fabales; Fabaceae. The record is from RNAcentral.
UUGUGGGAAUGAUGAAAAUGUUGUUGUUAAACCCAUGAAAUUUGAUUAAAUUGUGUGAAUGAUGAAAAUGUUGUUGUUAAAUCCAUGACAUUUGAUUCAAUUGUGUGAAUGAUUACAAUAUUGUUGUUAAACCCAUGAAAUUUGAUAAAAUUGUGUGAAUAAUUAAAAUAUUAUUCUUAAACCCAUGAAAUUUGAUUAAAUUGUGGAAAUGAUGAAAAUGUUAUUGUUAAACCCAUGAAAUUUGAUUGAAUAUUGUUAAUCAUAAAAAU